AAAACAUCCUUUGUUCUGAGGAGAAAAGAGUUUACACUGGCCUUUGUGGCAACUUUUAAUCACUGCUUUAUUUAAAAAAAAAAAUUAAAAUAAGAAAGUACUGUGUGAGUCUUCCAGCUUUCCAGGGACUUUGAGCUUCCAAGAGCUAGAAGCCAUUUCCCGAUUCAGACGCUUAGGUCAUCUGCGAGUGGGACAGCAGCGCCAUCCAGUGGCCAUCUUGCGCAGCAGCUCCUCUGUAUUCCUGAACCCGUAGUAUUUUUCCUUCUGCUCCAGAACAUGCAGUCUCGGAAGUCCUGUAGUAUAGAAACUUGUUUUCCCAAAGUCACUUGGAUAUACCUUCUUUUUUUUUCCCCUUGGUUCAACAUCUGUUAACUUUUUGAAGAAUUAAUGUUCUACGGAAUUUCUUGGAGAAAAAACUUUCUCAAAGUGUGGUCCAAGGACCUUCUGUGGGGGUUUUCAAGAGUCUUUUAGGGGUUCUGCAAGGUUAAAAUUAUUUUUGUAGUACUAAGACAUUAUUCGCGUUUUUGUUCUCAUUCUUUCUUGCAAGUGCAGUGUAGUUCUCCAGGGGCUACAUGACUUGUGACAAAGCAGAGGCAGAUAUGAGAAUUAAGCUAUUAAACCAGAUGCUAAAGAGAUUUGCAAAAUUACAAAAACAAUGUCGCUUAUUUUUUUGUUUUGGAAAAUAGUUAUUUUUCUUAAAAUUAUGUAAUUUAUAUUAACAUAUAAUGGAUUAUUAUUUAAAAUUAAUUAAUAAUUUUUAAAAUGUGUUUUAAUUUUGAAUUUGGUGAGUAUUGAGAAAUAUUGCCCACUCACAGAAACAAAGCUUUUGGAGGGGCCGGUUCUGGGGCCGAGUGAAGUUCGCGCGCUCCGCUGCCGUGGCCUAGGGUUCGGAUCCUGGCCGCGGACAUGGCACUGCUCAUCAGGCCACGUUGAGGCGGCGUCCCAUAUCCCACAACUAGAAGGACCUGCAACUAAGAUAUACUACUGUAAUCCCGUCCUCAGAGUCAGCUUCCUGAGACCAUCUCUGAUGCCAGCUGUCUUAAAGUUUUGUUCCUGAGCAACAAGACUGAGAUGAAGAUUCUUAUAAGUGAUUGGAAAGGUGCUCCCAGGAAAAGAGGAGUGAAAGAUGCAGAGUAAACAGGAGCAGAAAGCUUAAGCAAGAGUGUGGUACCUGCUAAAGAUUAGUUUCAGUUUGAUUCCACAGAGAGGCUGGAGUUUCACCGUAAAACUAAGCCCACCUUCAGGCAAGGGGGCCAGCUUUUUGUCCCAUUAAGUCUGCUGCCAUUGGCUGAGAUCUGCCCUGGGCAGUAGCGGGUGUUGCCUCCUGGGCAAGGAGACUUCUAUUUGGCUGAGGACUAUUUUCAGGAGUAGGGGCAGCUGUGAAUUGUCAUCAGGCAACACAAACAGCAGCCAGGGGGUGGGCGCACUGCCUGUAAAGAGGAUCCAGGUGGGGCAC
RNAcentral lists this long non-coding RNA (1456 nucleotides) under Equus asinus (donkey). RNAcentral describes it as "lncRNA (ENSEASG00005026266.1)". The record is from RNAcentral. Lineage: Eukaryota; Metazoa; Chordata; Mammalia; Perissodactyla; Equidae.